GCUAGCGCUGCAGCUGACGACAGCUACAGUCGAGUCGUACAGGGGUCAGCUUGCUACCGCUGACGAGCGCGACGCGGUGAGUAUGCAUAGGACUCUGCCCGAUAGUGGGGGAUAACCUGGGGAAACCAGGCUAAUACCGCAUACGUCCUACGGGAGACAGGGGCUCCGGCUCCCGCUAUUGGAUGAGCCUAUGUCGAUUAGCUAGUUGGUGACGGUAAUGGCUCACCAGGCACGAUCCGUCAGCUGGUCUGAGAGAUGAUCAGCCACAUCGGACUGAGACACAGGCCGAACUCCUACGGAGGCAGCAGU
This 309-nucleotide ribosomal RNA is filed under the name Halomonas sp. D23. RNAcentral describes it as "bacterial SSU rRNA". The stretch from base 31 to 305 matches the Rfam family "Bacterial small subunit ribosomal RNA", at positions 58 to 351 of the family's 1533-position model. Lineage: Bacteria; Pseudomonadati; Pseudomonadota; Gammaproteobacteria; Oceanospirillales; Halomonadaceae. The record is from RNAcentral.